GUAGGUGGCAAGCGUUGUCCGGAAUUAUUGGGCGUAAAGCGCGCGCAGGCGGUCCUUUAAGUCUGAUGUGAAAGCCCACGGCUCAACCGUGGAGGGUCAUUGGAACCUGGGGGACUUGAGUACAGAAGAGGAAAGCGGAAUUCCAAGUGUAGCGGUGAAAUGCGUAGAGAUUUGGAGGAACACCAGUGGCGAAGGCGGCUUUCUGGUCUGUAACUGACGCUGAGGCGCGAAAGCGUGGGGAGCAAACAGGGAUUAGAUACCCUGGUAGUCCACGCCGUAAACGAUGAGUGCUAAGUGUUAGGGGGUUUCCCGCCCCCUUAGUGCUGCAGCUAACGCAUUAAGCACUCCGCCUGGGGAGUACGGCCGCAAGGCUG
This 374-nucleotide ribosomal RNA is filed under the name uncultured organism. Its description in RNAcentral is "partial 16S ribosomal RNA". It matches the Rfam family "Bacterial small subunit ribosomal RNA", at positions 527 to 896 of the family's 1533-position model. The record is from RNAcentral.